UACGGAGGGGACUAGCGUUGUUCGGAAUUACUGGGCGUAAAGCGCGCGUAGGUGGUUUGUUAAGUUGGAUGUGAAAGCCCCGGGCUCAACCUGGGAACUGCAUUCAAAACUGACAAGCUAGAGUAUGGUAGAGGGUGGUGGAAUUUCCUGUGUAGCGGUGAAAUGCGCAGAUAUCGGGAAGAACACCCGUGGCGAAGGCGGUUCUCUGGGACGGUACUGACGCUGAGACGCGAAAGCGUGGGGAGCGAACAGG
RNAcentral lists this ribosomal RNA (253 nucleotides) under uncultured bacterium. RNAcentral describes it as "partial 16S ribosomal RNA". It matches the Rfam family "Bacterial small subunit ribosomal RNA", at positions 524 to 776 of the family's 1533-position model. The record is from RNAcentral.